AAUUAUUAUAUAUUUAAUUUAUUUUAUUGUUAUUGGGUCUAUUAAUAGAAAUAACUUUUUUUUUAGUAUUUUUUAAAGAACAAAUAUGAUUAUAUUUAUAGUUAAUUUUACUGUGAAGGUUAAUUUUAUUGUAUAUAUAUUAAGUAGAAUUUAUUUUUUGUACCUUUUGUAUCAGGGUUUAUUUAUAAUUUUUAAUUUAUUUAUUAAAUUCCCGAAAUUAAAAGAGAUACCAUCUAUUGUUAUUUCAUGUUUCAUAAUUAUGGUAAAAUUUUUGGUAGAGGUUAUAUGCUAUUCAAUUUUAAAUAUCUGGUUUCUUAAUAUUUGAAUUUAAUUCAUAAUUUAAGUUUUUAAUGGAUAAUUUUAUUUUUAUUAAAAUUUUAAAUUAAAGAUUAUAAGGGAUAAGCUUUAUAAUUUUAUUAUACAAUUAUUUUUAUUUAAUGUUAUGUAGGAUUAAAAAUUUUCAUCAUUUAUUUUUUAAUAAUUAUGCAUUUAUUUAAAUUUAUUUUAUAUUAUUGUUAAAUUAUUAUUAAGAUUUAUUAAUUAAUUUUAGAUUAUUAGUUAUAAUGAUAGAAUUAGUAUAUUUAGUUAAUUAAUGUAUAGUAACUCGGCAAAUUUGUUCUUCACCUGUUUAACAAAAACAUGUCUUAAUGAUUAUAUUAAUAUUAAGUCUGACCUGCUCAAUGAUUGUAUAUUAAAUAGCCGCAGUAUUUUGACUGUGCGAAGGUAGCAUAAUCAUUUGUCUUUUAAUUGAGGACUGGUAUGAAUGGUUUGAUGAAGGAAUAACUUUCUUUAUAUUAAUUAUUGAAUUUAAUUUUUAAGUUAAAAAGCUUAAAUUUUUAAAUGGGACGAGAAGACCCUAUAGAAUUUUAUUUUUAUUUAAAUUUAUAUUUAAAUUGGUUAUUAUUUGUUUAAUUUUAUUAAAAAUUUUGUUGGGGCGACAUUGAGAUUAUUUUAACUCUCAUAUAUUUUGUUUACUUAUAUGUAUAUAUAGGAUCCUAUAUUAAGGAUAUUUAGAUUAAAUUACCUUAGGGAUAACAGCGUAAUUUCUUUGGAGAGUUCUUAUUGAUAAAGGAGUUUGCGACCUCGAUGUUGGAUUAAAAUUGGAUUUAAGUGCAGAAGCUUAAAAUUCCAGGUCUGUUCGACCUUUAAAGUUUUACAUGAUCUGAGUUCAGACCGGCGUAAGCCAGGUCGGUUUCUAUCUUUUUAAUUAUUUUUAUAGUUUAGUACGAAAGGACCAAUUAUAACAAAUAUUUUGUUUAUUAUGAAUAUUUUUAAU
Molecule: ribosomal RNA, 1276 nt
Filed under: Dalsira scabrata
Lineage: Eukaryota; Metazoa; Arthropoda; Insecta; Hemiptera; Pentatomidae
Description: 16S ribosomal RNA
Rfam family: Archaeal large subunit ribosomal RNA (bases 843-1201)
Source: RNAcentral